ACAGCAGCAGCCACGGGAAUACGAAGGGUGCAAGCGUUAAUCGGAUUUACUGGGCGUAAAGCGCGCGCAGGCGGAUAGGUCAGUCUGUCUUAAAAGUUCGGGGCUUAACCCCGUGAUGGGAUGGAAACUGCCAAUCUAGAGUAUCGGAGAGGAAAGUGGAAUUCCUAGUGUAGCGGUGAAAUGCGUAGAUAUUAGGAAGAACACCAGUGGCGAAGGCGACUUUCUGGACGAAAACUGACGCUGAGGCGCGAAAGCCAGGGGAGCGAACGGGAUUAGAUACCCGCGUAGUCCCUGUCUCUUAUACA
Molecule: ribosomal RNA, 305 nt
Filed under: uncultured bacterium
Lineage: Bacteria
Description: partial 16S ribosomal RNA
Rfam family: Bacterial small subunit ribosomal RNA
Source: RNAcentral